This 355-nucleotide ribosomal RNA is filed under the name uncultured Sphingobacteriales bacterium. RNAcentral's name for it is "bacterial SSU rRNA". It matches the Rfam family "Bacterial small subunit ribosomal RNA", at positions 1027 to 1382 of the family's 1533-position model. The record is from RNAcentral. Lineage: Bacteria; Pseudomonadati; Bacteroidota; Sphingobacteriia; Sphingobacteriales.
CUUUCUGCAAGGUGCUGCAUGGUUGUCGUCAGCUCGUGCCGUGAGGUGUCGGUUAAGUCCCAUAACGAGCGCAACCCUUAUCGUUAGUUGCCAGCUGGUAAAGCAGGGGACUCUAGCGAAACUGCCACCGUAAGGUGAGAGGAAGGUGGGGAUGACGUCAAAUCAGCACGGCCCUUAUGUCCAGGGCUACACACGUGUUACAAUGGCCGGCACAGAGGGCAGCUACCUGGUGACAGGAUGCUAAUCUCGAAAACCGGUCUCAGUUCGGAUCGAAGUCUGCAACUCGACUUCGUGAAGCUGGAUUCGCUAGUAAUCGCGCAUCAGCCAUGGCGCGGUGAAUACGUUCCCGGGCCUU